Molecule: transfer RNA, 71 nt
Filed under: Loxodonta africana (African savanna elephant)
Lineage: Eukaryota; Metazoa; Chordata; Mammalia; Proboscidea; Elephantidae
Rfam family: tRNA
About the family: Transfer RNA (tRNA) molecules are approximately 80 nucleotides in length. Their secondary structure includes four short double-helical elements and three loops (D, anti-codon, and T loops).
Source: Rfam by way of RNAcentral
GCAGUGGCGACUCAACGGUAGAAUUCUUGUCUUCUAUGCAGGAGACUCAGGUUCAAUUCCUGGCCAAGGUA